RNAcentral lists this ribosomal RNA (253 nucleotides) under uncultured bacterium. RNAcentral's name for it is "partial 16S ribosomal RNA". It matches the Rfam family "Bacterial small subunit ribosomal RNA", at positions 524 to 776 of the family's 1533-position model. The record is from RNAcentral.
UACGGAGGGUGCAAGCGUUAUCCGGAUUCACUGGGUUUAAAGGGUGCGUAGGCGGACAGGUAAGUCAGUGGUGAAAUCUCCGAGCUUAACUCGGAAACUGCCUUUGAUACUCUCUGUCUUGAAUAUGGUGGAGGUAAGCGGAAUAUGUCAUGUAGCGGUGAAAUGCUUAGAGAUGACAUAGAACACCUAUUGCGAAGGCAGCUCACUACACGAAUAUUGACACUGAGGCACGAAAGCGUGGGGAUCAAACAGG